AUGCUCCUAGUUGUGUUAAGUGUUGGCAGAUAUCCGGAUCCCGCCCUAAGGGUCUGGACCUUGAACCCCGAACUUCCCCCCUCCCCAUAUGAAGUCCGGGGUUUUUUUUGCCUGCGA
This 117-nucleotide small RNA is filed under the name Pseudomonas cichorii. Its description in RNAcentral is "Pseudomon-1 RNA". It matches the Rfam family "Pseudomon-1/ErsA RNA". Rfam says of the family: Functions to regulate the AlgC enzyme. Based on this information, the new name ErsA for the RNA was adopted. The record is from RNAcentral. Lineage: Bacteria; Pseudomonadati; Pseudomonadota; Gammaproteobacteria; Pseudomonadales; Pseudomonadaceae.